GGCGGAGCAAAACACAAAACAACAGUCUCAGUUCAGAUUGUAGGCUGAAACUCGCCUAUAUGAAGUCGGAAUUGCUAGUAAUCGCGGAUCAGCAUGCCGCGGUGAAUACGUUCCCGGGCCUUGUACACACCGCCCGUCACACCAUGAGAGUCGAUAACACCCGAAGCCUGUAGUCUAACAGCAAUGAGGACGCAGUCGAAGGUGGGAUUGAUAAUUAGGGUGAAGUCGUAACAAGGUAUC
Molecule: ribosomal RNA, 240 nt
Filed under: uncultured bacterium
Lineage: Bacteria
Description: partial 16S ribosomal RNA
Rfam family: Bacterial small subunit ribosomal RNA
Source: RNAcentral